UGCCCUGAGAGGAUCUCUCCGCUGUCCUGGAGAGUCAUGGAGAGGCUCAAAUCAUGGAGAGAGACCCAACAAACAUCCCCUCCCCUCCUUGUUGAUGGGAUGACCCCUGGAAUUGAAGAAUUUUUCCAUGAGAAUUUAAAUUGUCUGCAUGUACAAAACAGGAUCGCGGUUGCAAGGCAGAAAUUGAAAAUUAUCCUCAAAAGGCCUCUCCGGUCAUCACGUCUGUCUACCUCAUGAUCUUUCCAGACGCUACUGGAGACGCUGGAGAAGAAAGCUCAGGUACUACGGAAAAGUACUGCUGUAUGCUGAAUUUGUGCCAGAGCCUUGAACCCCAACCCAUCCACCCACAAAUCCCUGCAGUUUCUAUGAGGGAGCAG
Ailuropoda melanoleuca (giant panda) is the source of this 377-nucleotide long non-coding RNA. RefSeq lists it as uncharacterized. The transcript has 3 exons. NCBI's taxonomy places the organism in Eukaryota, Metazoa, Chordata, Mammalia, Carnivora, Ursidae. The record is from RefSeq and is a predicted model, not a curated record.